UCCUGGGUAGUCAGUGGGUCAUUGCGGGUCGCAGCAUGUCCCCAUGAUGUGGAUGGCGUGUCCGCUUUAGGCCAAGAGUGAUCAUUGACGCGUUGCCGUAGGGCAGUAUGUUGAGAUCACUAAGGAAGGGUGCACC
RNAcentral lists this non-coding RNA (136 nucleotides) under Globisporangium iwayamae DAOM BR242034. Lineage: Eukaryota; Oomycota; Peronosporomycetes; Pythiales; Pythiaceae. The record is from RNAcentral.